ACUCUCUUAGUAUAACAUACAGUACAACUGACUUCCAAUCAGUUAGCCUUAGUUUAAACCUAAGAGAGAGUA
Molecule: transfer RNA, 72 nt
Filed under: Sundasciurus lowii (Low's squirrel)
Lineage: Eukaryota; Metazoa; Chordata; Mammalia; Rodentia; Sciuridae
Description: tRNA-Gly
Rfam family: tRNA
About the family: Transfer RNA (tRNA) molecules are approximately 80 nucleotides in length. Their secondary structure includes four short double-helical elements and three loops (D, anti-codon, and T loops). Further hydrogen bonds mediate the characteristic L-shaped molecular structure. tRNAs have two regions of fundamental functional importance: the anti-codon, which is responsible for specific mRNA codon recognition, and the 3' end, to which the tRNAs corresponding amino acid is attached (by aminoacyl-tRNA synthetases). tRNAs cope with the degeneracy of the genetic code in two manners: having more than one tRNA (with a specific anti-codon) for a particular amino acid; and 'wobble' base-pairing, i.e. permitting non-standard base-pairing at the 3rd anti-codon position.
Source: RNAcentral